This 923-nucleotide ribosomal RNA is filed under the name uncultured Bacteroidota bacterium. RNAcentral's name for it is "bacterial SSU rRNA". It matches the Rfam family "Bacterial small subunit ribosomal RNA", at positions 1 to 916 of the family's 1533-position model. Lineage: Bacteria; Pseudomonadati; Bacteroidota. The record is from RNAcentral.
GGAUCCAGACUUUGAUCAUGGCUCAGGAUGAACGCUAGCUACAGGCUUAACACAUGCAAGUCGAGGGGAAACGACAUCGAAAGCUUGCUUUUGAUGGGCGUCGACCGGCGCACGGGUGAGUAACGCGUAUCCAACCUGCCCACCACUUGGGGAUAACCUUGCGAAAGUAAGACUAAUACCCAAUGACGUCUCUAGAAGACAUCUGAAAGAGAUUAAAGAUUUAUCGGUGAUGGAUGGGGAUGCGUCUGAUUAGCUUGUUGGCGGGGUAACGGCCCACCAAGGCUACGAUCAGUAGGGGUUCUGAGAGGAAGGUCCCCCACAUUGGAACUGAGACACGGUCCAAACUCCUACGGGAGGCAGCAGUGAGGAAUAUUGGUCAAUGGACGAGAGUCUGAACCAGCCAAGUAGCGUGCAGGAUGACGGCUCUAUGGGUUGUAAACUGCUUUUAUAAGGGAAUAAAGUGAGCCUCGUGAGGCUUUUUGCAUGUACCUUAUGAAUAAGGACCGGCUAAUUCCGUGCCAGCAGCCCCGGUAAUACGGAAGGUCCGGGCGUUAUCCGGAUUUAUUGGGUUUAAAGGGAGCGUAGGCCGGAGAUUAAGCGUGUUGUGAAAUGUAGAUGCUCAACAUCUGCACUGCAGCGCGGACUGGUUUCCUUGAGUACGCACAAAGUGGGCGGAAUUCGUGGUGUAGCGGUGAAAUGCUUAGAUAUCACGAAGAACUCCGAUUGCGAAGGCAGCUCACUGGAGCGCAACUGACGCUGAAGCUCGAAAGUGCGGGUAUCGAACAGGAUAGAUACCCUGGUAGUCCGCACGGUAAACGAUGGAUGCCCGCUGUUGGUCUGAAUAGGUCAGCGGCCAAGCGAAAGCAUUAAGCAUCCCACCUGGGGAGUACGCCGGCAACGGUGCAACUCAGAGGAAUUGACGG